This 392-nucleotide unclassified non-coding RNA is filed under the name soil metagenome. RNAcentral's name for it is "partial contains 5.8S ribosomal RNA, internal transcribed spacer 2, and large subunit ribosomal RNA". The stretch from base 1 to 122 matches the Rfam family "5.8S ribosomal RNA", at positions 35 to 154 of the family's 154-position model. The record is from RNAcentral.
GAUGAAGAACGUAGCGAAAUGCGAUACUUGGUGUGAAUUGCAGAAUCCCGUGAACCAUCGAGUCUUUGAACGCAAGUUGCGCCCGAAGCCAUUAGGCCGAGGGCACGCCUGCCUGGGCGUCACACGUCGUUGCCCCCCCCAUCUACUCCUUCGGGACUGCGGGGGGCGGAUGAUGGCCUCCCGUGCGCCUCGCCGCGCGGUUGGCAUAAAUGCCAAGUCCUCGGCGACGCACGCCACGACAAUCGGUGGUUGCGAAACCUCGGUUGCCCGUCGUGUGCGGUCGUCGCGCAUCGAGGGCUCGAAAAAAUUGCCGAGUUCCGGCUCGGCUUUCAACGCGACCCCAGGUCAGGCGGGGUUACCCGCUGAAUUUAAGCAUAUCAAUAAGCGGAGGA